RNAcentral lists this ribosomal RNA (253 nucleotides) under uncultured bacterium. RNAcentral's name for it is "partial 16S ribosomal RNA". It matches the Rfam family "Bacterial small subunit ribosomal RNA", at positions 524 to 776 of the family's 1533-position model. The record is from RNAcentral.
UACAGGGGGGGCAAGCGUUGUUCAGAAUUACUGGGCGUAAAGGGCUCGUAGGCGGCCAACUAAGUCCGACGUGAAAUCCCCAGGCUUAACCUGGGAACUGCGUCGGAUACUGGAUGGCUUGAAUCCGGGAGAGGGAUGCGGAAUUCCAGGUGUAGCGGUGAAAUGCGUAGAUAUCUGGAGGAACACCGGUGGCGAAGGCGGCAUCCUGGACCGGCAUUGACGCUGAGGAGCGAAAGCCAGGGGAGCAAACGGG